CCAAAAUCCCACUCCUUCAUCCUUCGUCAUCCCCCUCCUUCCCCAAGUGCCGCCGACGAAUAAUUCCCAUCACAUCCCAAAACUCCCCAGAAAAAUUCAUAUAUAUCUCUCCCCCCCUCCAAGAGCCUUCCUCCUCCGUCGGCCAACUCCGACGAUCAACUCCGCGAGACAAUGCUGCAAGGGGUGAUCUCGAGCUCUCUCUCCCUCUCCAGCUAUCUCGCUCUCGAUCUCUCUCGAUCCCUCUCUCGAUCCACGAGCGAACUCCGCUGAUUUGCAACACCAUCGACCAACUCCGCGAGCCAACUCCGACGAAGCUAACGCAGUGUCUGCGAAUUACGAGGGAGUAGCUUCUCAAUUCAUGAUCCUUGAAUCUUGUUGAGUUAGCUUUGUUAGGAAUAGCAAGUUUUGUGUCUUCAAACAAUGUCAACUUAUUAUGUUCUGAUGUAAGACUUGGAUUUUGAUGGUGUGACUGUUUAGAUUUGUAGACUGCUGGAGAGUGUAUGGUUUUCGCAUUCUCAUGUUGUUUGAACUAAGAUUGUAUGGUUUCAUUUAAAGUAUUUUGUAUGAACUAAGAUUGUAUGGCUAAGACUGCUGGAGAGUGAA
This is a long non-coding RNA of Asparagus officinalis (garden asparagus), 603 nucleotides long. RefSeq lists it as uncharacterized. NCBI's taxonomy places the organism in Eukaryota, Viridiplantae, Streptophyta, Magnoliopsida, Asparagales, Asparagaceae. The record is from RefSeq and is a predicted model, not a curated record. The transcript is spliced from 2 exons.